GUGCUUGUGUCAGUAGCACAUGUACUAAAAUUGGAACAAUACAGAGAAGAGUAGCAUGGCCCCUGUGUAAGGAUGACACACAAAUUCAUGAAGCAUUCCAUAUUUUU
Molecule: small nuclear RNA, 107 nt
Organism: Delphinapterus leucas (beluga whale)
Lineage: Eukaryota; Metazoa; Chordata; Mammalia; Artiodactyla; Monodontidae
Source: Ensembl